AAGCAAUUUCGUACUUCGCCCAAGCGCCAUAAGAUUAGAUUAGUACGAUAAGUGCAGUUAACGAUACCUGGUUGAAUUCAGGCCAUAUAAUGCGAAGGUCUUUGCGUCUCAUCGUGGGAUUACUCCUCGCCAUAGACGUUGCCAUCAGCUUAAUGUCCCUAAACCCUGUGGAAUUUAGAAAAAGAGCAGGGUUGGCCAACCACACCACCUUUAUGGAGACGUCUACAGAACCUGGAAUGAUGUUCAAAUAACAGGGCAGUAUGCCUGUUUGAGGGGGCACAAUUGAGUGGGGUUUGAAAGAGAGAUGGUCCCUCGUUGCGAGCUUGGGCUAUGCCAUGAUCAUUGAAUUAGGACGUGGGAUUCAUUAUUUCACCUGGUAGAUGGUGCCUGACAUCAUUGUGCAUUCCAUCACAUCCACUCCUACCCAUCCUUAGAGGCCACCAAACCUCUUUGAUGGGACUUUCCUCAGAGAUUUACAAUCAUGAGGUUGAUUUUUUGUAUUCUUGCAUUUGGACCUUAGGAGUAGUUGAGUUGUUUCAACAAAUCCAUAUAAUUGAAACUCUGUUCUUUCCGAGAGAGGAGAGAA
Molecule: long non-coding RNA, 586 nt
Filed under: Phoenix dactylifera (date palm)
Lineage: Eukaryota; Viridiplantae; Streptophyta; Magnoliopsida; Arecales; Arecaceae
Description: long non-coding RNA (PDAC_LNC001390)
Source: RNAcentral